GGGUCCGUAGUCUAGCGGCAGGACGCCGCCUUGACGUGGCGGAAACCCCGGUUCGAAUCCGGGCGGACCCA
The sequence is a transfer RNA, 71 nucleotides long. It matches the Rfam family "tRNA". From Rfam's summary of the family: Transfer RNA (tRNA) molecules are approximately 80 nucleotides in length.